UCCGGAUCAAGUACGAUCACCGAAGUUAAGCAACGUCGAGCCUGGUUAGUACCUAGAUGGGUGACCGUUUCAGAAUAUCAGGUGCCGUAAG
Non-coding RNA from Acanthosepion pharaonis, 91 nucleotides. Lineage: Eukaryota; Metazoa; Mollusca; Cephalopoda; Sepiida; Sepiidae. The record is from the annotation of a GenBank genome assembly.